GUGACAGCCGCCGCGGUAAUACGGGGGGGGCAAGCGUUGUUCGGAAUUAUUGGGCGUAAAGGGUUCGUAGGUGGCCGGCUAAGUCAGACGUGAAAUCCCUCAGCUUAACUGGGGAACUGCGUCUGAGACUGAUCGGCUUGAGUGCAGGAGAGGAACGCGGAAUUCCAGGUGUAGCGGUGAAAUGCGUAGAUAUCUGGAGGAACACCGGUGGCGAAGGCGGCGUUCUGGACUGUUACUGACACUGAGGAACGAAAGCCAGGGGAGCAAACGGGAUUAGAAACCCCAGUAGUCC
This 292-nucleotide ribosomal RNA is filed under the name uncultured bacterium. RNAcentral describes it as "partial 16S ribosomal RNA". It matches the Rfam family "Bacterial small subunit ribosomal RNA", at positions 505 to 796 of the family's 1533-position model. The record is from RNAcentral.